UUUCCGUAGGUGAACCUGCGGAAGGAUCAUUAUCAUACAAUAAGUUAGGAACAUUCGAGGACUGUAGCUUUCCGAUAGCUCGGACAGUCCCGAGUGUGUCCUCUUGCAUAAUAAUCCGUCUCUCCAUGUAUGCAGCAACGCGUUUUCAUCCUGCGGGAGCGUCGCCCAGAAAUAAUCGUGUUAUCAUAAGAACCCCCCUUUUAAAAUUAUAAAAUGAUCACAUUUAUGCGAUCAACACAACUUUCAACAACGGAUCUCUUGGUUCUCGCAUCGAUGAAA
Molecule: unclassified non-coding RNA, 279 nt
Filed under: plant metagenome
Description: partial contains small subunit ribosomal RNA, internal transcribed spacer 1, and 5.8S ribosomal RNA
Source: RNAcentral